Molecule: long non-coding RNA, 709 nt
Organism: Oncorhynchus tshawytscha (Chinook salmon)
Lineage: Eukaryota; Metazoa; Chordata; Actinopteri; Salmoniformes; Salmonidae
Source: Ensembl
GUCCUUUAAAAAAAAUCUAAUUACAUUUUAUUUGUCACAUGAAUACAACAGAUGGAAUGCUUACAGUGAAAUGCUUUCUUACAAGCCCUUAACCAACAAAACUUUAAGAAGUGAAGAAACUUGUUUUUAUUUUUCACUAUAAACAUUUAACAAAUAAUUAAACAGCAGCAGUUAAAUAACAAUAGCGAUAUGUACAAGUAGGUAGAGUUGAAGUGACUAUGCAUAGUAGCAGCAGUGUAAAAGAGGGGUCUGGGUAGCCCUUUGAUUGGCUGUUCAGGAGUCUUAUGGCUUGGGGGUAGAAGCAGUUAAUCGCAAAUCUAGAAGAGGAGUAUGAAGAUCUGUAGGAUGUAGUACCGUCUCUUAUUGAGGAAUCUGCAAAGUAUUUAGAUCGCUUUGAAGCCCAACCCACUCUCCAAUGCAGAGGACAUCGAUCUGCUCAUCCAAGGUGAGGGGACAGAGGCCAAACCAGGCUUCUGGCUCGUACUGAAGGUGAGGGGACAGAGGCCAAACCAGGCUUCUGGCUCGUACUGAAGGUGAGGGGACAGAGGCCAAACCAGGCUUCUGGCUCGUACUGAAGGUGAGGGGACAGAGGCCAAACCAGGCUUCUGGCUCGUACUGAAGGUGAGGGGACAGAGGCCAAACCAGGCUUCUGGCUCGCACUGAAGGUGAGGGGACAGAGGCCAAACCAGGCUUCUGGCUCGCACUGAAG